GACGAACGCUGGCGGCGUGCCUAACACAUGCAAGUCGAACGGACAGGCCCUGCUUUUGCGGGGUGCAUGAGAGGCGAACGGGUGAGUAACACGCGAGUAACCUGCCCCUGACUUAGGGAUAACUUCUGGGAACUGGGGCUAAUACCCGAUAGAAGCUCCUGCUGCAUGGUGGGGGUAGGAAAGUUUCGGCGGUGGUGGAUGGACUCGCGGCUUAUCAGCUUGUUGGUGAGGUAGUGGCGUACCAAGGCUAUGACGGGUAGCCGGCCUGGGAGGGUGACCAGCCACAUUAGGACUGAGGUACGCCCCAGUCUCCUACGGGAGGCAGCAGUGGGGAAUAUUGCGCAAUGGGCGGAAGCCUGUUACAGCAGCGCCGCGAGCGUGAUGACGGCCUUCGGGGGGUAAACCGCUUUCGCCUGUGACGAAGCGUGAGUGACGGUAAUGGGUAAAGAAGCACCGGCUAACUACGUG
This 468-nucleotide ribosomal RNA is filed under the name uncultured bacterium. RNAcentral's name for it is "partial 16S ribosomal RNA". It matches the Rfam family "Bacterial small subunit ribosomal RNA", at positions 28 to 507 of the family's 1533-position model. The record is from RNAcentral.